Molecule: ribosomal RNA, 23 nt
Filed under: Gambierdiscus sp. C-4
Lineage: Eukaryota; Dinophyceae; Gonyaulacales; Pyrocystaceae
Also listed under: 6 other names
Description: partial 28S rRNA
Source: RNAcentral
CUGUGUGAAUGCAAGUGUGCACA